Molecule: ribosomal RNA, 238 nt
Filed under: uncultured bacterium
Lineage: Bacteria
Description: partial 16S ribosomal RNA
Rfam family: Bacterial small subunit ribosomal RNA
Source: RNAcentral
UGGCGGACGGGUGAGUAACGCGUGGGUAACCUGCCUCAUACAGGGGGAUAACAGUUAGAAAUGACUGCUAAUACCGCAUAAGACCACAGCACCGCAUGGUGCAGGGGUAAAAACUCCGGUGGUAUGGGAUGGACCCGCGUCUGAUUAGGUAGUUGGUGGGGUAACGGCCUACCAAGCCGACGAUCAGUAGCCGACCUGAGAGGGUGACCGGCCACAUUGGGACUGAGACACGGCCCAA